This 496-nucleotide ribosomal RNA is filed under the name uncultured bacterium. Its description in RNAcentral is "partial 16S ribosomal RNA". It matches the Rfam family "Bacterial small subunit ribosomal RNA", at positions 28 to 506 of the family's 1533-position model. The record is from RNAcentral.
GAUGAACGCUGGCGGCGUGCCUAAUACAUGCAAGUCGAGCGAACAGACGAGGAGCUUGCUCCUCUGACGUUAGCGGCGGACGGGUGAGUAACACGUGGAUAACCUACCUAUAAGACUGGGAUAACUUCGGGAAACCGGAGCUAAUACCGGAUAAUAUAUUGAACCGCAUGGUUCAAUAGUGAAAGACGGUUUUGCUGUCACUUAUAGAUGGAUCCGCGCCGCAUUAGCUAGUUGGUAAGGUAACGGCUUACCAAGGCAACGAUGCGUAGCCGACCUGAGAGGGGGGUCCGCCACACUGGAACUGAGACCCGGUCCAGACCUCUACGGGGGGCCGGAGGAGGGAAUCUUCCGGAAUGGGCGAAAGCUUGACGGGGCAACGGCGGGGGAGUGAUGAAGGUCUUCGGAUCGUAAAACUUUUUUAUUAGGGAAAAACAAAUGGGUAAGUAACUAUGCACGUCUUGACGGUACCUAAACAGAAAGCCACGGCUAACUACGU